Molecule: non-coding RNA, 23 nt
Filed under: Arabidopsis thaliana (thale cress)
Lineage: Eukaryota; Viridiplantae; Streptophyta; Magnoliopsida; Brassicales; Brassicaceae
Source: RNAcentral
AUCCCGAGUUUGCCGAAGAACCC